CCUGAGGGGAUAGAAGGGCAAGGAGCUUCCUGAAUCCUGGGGACAGAGCGCCCGGGCUGAGGGUCACAGGGCCACCUAUGUGGGCCCUGAGAGCCUGCCUUUUUGUCUGUAAAGCUGGAGUUAAUAAAUUCAAGACACUUAAGACAGGAAGGCGGGCCAGAAAGGACUGAUACACACUUCUUUUGGACGCAGGAUCUUCCCACAUAGUCUGGCUGUCCUGGGACUCACUAAUGGAAGGAGGGCCUCAGAGAUCCGCCUGCCUCUGCCUGCCCAAUGCUGGGAUUAAAGGGUUUGCUGUAAGACACACGCGGCCAGCUGUCAGGGCCGGCGGGCCAUCGGCGGGACAAGGGGACACACAGAGUUUCCAGUCUGAGGGAUGGAGGGGACAGAGGCUGAGCGCCUGAAGGCUGAGGACACAGCACAAGGCUGAGCUCAGGAGCCCUUAGGCCCCGCACGGCGACAUGGAUACCUGAGAACGUUGCCAGAUGCCUUGAUGAUAUCCACAAUCUCCCGGUGCCGGGUGCCUUCCACGUUGAUCCCGUUCACGCUGGCGAUGGUGUCCCCUGCCGGGCAGAGAAGUCGGCACCUGUUUCCCGGCUCAGAGGGAGGACUCCACACUGCUGGCCUGGAGAACCUCCCCUGAGCUCCCUUCCGGCGUGGGGAGGCCUGGGCAGGGCUUGCUCCCCACUCAAAAUACACAAACCUAACUGGGCAUGGCAGUGCAGGCCUUUACUGUAACCCCAGAACUUGGGAGGCAGAGGCAGGCGAUCUCUGUGAGUUCAAGGCCAGCCUGGUCUACAGAGCGAGUCCAGGACAGCCAGGGCUACACAGAGAAACCCUGUCUCAAAAAAAAAAAGAAAGAAAGAGAAAAACAAUACAACAACAAAAAUAAAAAAUACACAGAGACCUCA
Long non-coding RNA from Meriones unguiculatus (Mongolian gerbil), 911 nucleotides. RefSeq lists it as uncharacterized. Lineage: Eukaryota; Metazoa; Chordata; Mammalia; Rodentia; Muridae. The transcript is spliced from 3 exons. The record is from RefSeq and is a predicted model, not a curated record.